CCUUCAAGUCAAAUCUAUCAUUUAAUCCUCUUCUUUAGUGUGCAUUGAAUGCUAACACCUUUCAUUCAGUACUUCAACAUAAGCUCUAAAAACGAGUGCCUUUUUGUUUUUAUAAGAAUAUAACCAUACUAUCACUUCUAUCCAAAACACAUGAAUUUCUUAGUAUUAGCAUCCAAUUUUCUCUUAAUAUUUCAUAUGUGGUUUUUUGUUUUUUUCCCUUUCUUCCCUGGAUUCGUUUGAAUCAGGUUCCAAACAGGGCCUGCUCAUUCUUUCUGGUUGAUAGGUCUCGAGUACUAUUUAAUUUAUGUCUUUCUCCCUUUUCUCUUUAUCUUGCUCUUCUUUUUCUCCUGUUCUCUCUUUUCUUCCUCCCUCCCUCCCUUCCCAUUUAUUAGUGAGGAAACCAGGUCAUUGGUCCUGUAGAAUUUUCCCACAGUUUGCAUUUUGUUGGUUGCAAUCCCCUGAUGCUAUUCUAACCCAUUCCUUUGUUUCAUGUAUUUCCUAUAAACUAGUAAUUAGGUCUAAAGACUUGAUGGGAUUCAGUUUUCUUUUUUUUUUUGGUGCUGGGGAUCCAACCCAGGUCCUUGUGCAUGAGACAUGAGAGGCCAGCCCUCUACCAACUGAGCUACAUCCCCAACCCUGGGAUUCAGUUUUGAUAUUUGGGGCAUCAGUACUCCAUAGGUGGUACCGUACUGUAUUUUUCCACCAGAAGCCACUUGUUGUUUGGCUGUGGUUUUUCUCUUUCAUGUUAACCAGUAGGGGCAGCAUGAAACAUCAUGAGAGAUAGUGAUUUCCUAUUUCUUUCAUCGUUUUCUUAUUUUUUGGAAGAAUUAUUCUCUCAGUAACUAUUUGAUAACUCAAAGACAAUACUCUUACAAGAAAGACAGCCCUAUUUUCACUUGAGGAGGACAGGGUGUUUAGAGACUAUAACCUUUGCAAGGAGUGCUUAUCGCUGUUUAACUGAUGAUUAUGUCUUUUCAGUGGAUGAACCUAGAAGUGCACAUUUUUUUAAAAUGUGGAGUUUAUCAUGAAUUUAUACUGAUAUUUCAAAUUCAAAUUUAGGUUUGCAAAAUUGCUUUUUAAUUUUCUAUUAUAUCUCUUUUUCUCUAAUAUUAUAAGGUUGUGUUCCAAGUGAUAGUAACAUAAAUCCCUUUUGCUUUGGGAAGUUUAGCCUAAAGCCUGCUUCUUUAGCUCUCCUGAAGAUUUUGUAAGUGUUUAAAAUCUUGGGAAAAAAAAUCCUUUCUCCAUAAACCAUUUGAAGUGGAUCUUUUCAUCUUCACCUGAAUCCUGACAGAGCAAACUGCAGGCAGGUGGGGAGGGGCUGUUCAGGUCUCUGUAGUACAACUGCUCACAGCUACACCAAAGGAUGUCAAGGGUUCUCCGCUGAAGGAAUCACAAAGGUAUUAAAAGGAGAACCACAUUGCUCAGUCUUUUCUAUCUUUGUACAAGUCCUAAUUCACUAAAAAGUAUGUUUCUAUUUUUCAAAAGCAUUCUUUCUCUCUCUCUCUCCUUAUUCUCCUGCCCUAAAUCAGAUUCUGGAGAACACAUUAGAUCCGGCCCAGAGCAAGUGAACAGAGUCUUCUUCUAGCUCUGGACAAGAACCCAGUCAUUUUAGCAAAGGCUGCCAGAGGUCAUCCCAUCACUGCUUCAGGGUGGAUAAUGAGGCGUCUUGGGGGUGAGUGCAUACGGUGUAAGUGUCAGAAAGCUGCAUCUGUUGCUUGCUCCGAGGGCCUGGAGGGUCAAGUCACAUGAGUACGAUAUUUUCAUAAUAUUCUUCUGCAUCUUCGUCAUCGGAGCCGACUUUUCCAUCUGAGUCAACUGGCAGCUGUGUCUUCACCUCAGAGUAGACUAUCAAGGCAUGCUGGGACAGAAAGAAGACAGCGGAGGAACUUGAAAGGGUGAGAAGGAAAGGGCUGGAGGUGGUGGUGACAGAGGGAAAUGAGGCUCACCUUGUCCUCUGGAGGCAUCCAGGGGGUGUUACCUGUGGAGGACAAGGGAACCAUAAGAAUUCACUUAGAGCCCAGUCUGCCAACGUAUUUCCUAGAUCGGGGGCGGGGGGGGUCACUGGGCCCUCUCCAUCAAUGUCGUGUUUUCCCCACCCCAACAUAUCUUUUGAUUUUCUAUUUUACCUUUUUCUUUCUUUCUUUUCUUAUUGGCUCAUAUCCUAUUAGUUAUGCAUAGCAUUAGGUGUUUUACCAUUUCUUUUUUUAAUUUACCAUUUCUCAACUAAGCCCUCUGCAAGUUCUUCUCAAGCUUCAUUGAUCUGUAAAACUCUCCCUCAUCACAUGAAGAAACUUCACUUCUUCUUCUACCAGAUGUUGAGAGAAUAUUUUUCUCCUUGUUUAAUUCGUUGUACUUUUAAUUUAGAGUACAUCCACCACACUGUCCUGGAUGGUUUGGCAAGUUCUCAUAAAACUCUCUAUAUGUGUUGCCCGGUGAGGAAAACUCUCACGUUAUCAUGUUCUAGUUCUUGAUUUUAUUGCUAUAUUUUUUUUAGAGGUGGAGUCACAGAGAAAGAAAGUUUAGCAGAUGUGAUUUCUUGGUUCACGAAUAUUGGAAUUUAAGAGUCUCAGGGGAAAAAAAGUAGAAUCGUUAAAGCACCAUAAUAAUUUUAUGGAGAACUAGAACAUGAAAAGGAGAUAUAUCUUGGGGCACCUGAAGUUUCUGUUUCACCAUGUUCCUACCCAUACACUUUUGGAAUUACAGACAUUGUUAGUGAAGUGAUAAAAAGUGUCCAUUCCUCCUGCAAAUGGACAGAGCUUUGCUUAUGAUCUCAGGGCCUUUAUGAAAACCUGAAGGAACAAGUGAAAAGGGUUUUCUACAGCUCAUUAAUACAUCAAGUGCCUGAAAUAUAACCAAUCCAUUAACAAAAAUGGUGUUUGGGCCAAUGUGUUAAGGAUACAGUGGAAAGAUGAUAGAGGAAAAACUGUAUAAGAUAGAUGCACUCAACCAACCCAAACAAAUGAUUAGUGGUUCUGAUUCUACUAUUCAGCGGGUCCUGGCCAAUGGCUGGCUCAGGGAGCAAAGAGACAAAGCAGAUGAUCAGGUGAUACAUUAUUGGUCAAGCAGGAAUCGGUUGUACAAGCAGCAAAUAUUAAAUAAAGACAGAAGACUUUGUCUUAGCUUUGUGUUUUACAGGCUUUGUGACCUUGGGAAAGGACUUAACCACUACUUCAUUUGCAAAACAGGCUCAGUGUUAGAUUAUGAAUGAAAUUCCCACAAGGCACAGAGAUACUAGAGGUUUACAUUCUCAGAUGAGAUGCCAUAUUUAGAUUUAUUAAAAAAUAAUAGUUUGUUUCUUUGACUCUAAGAGUCUGGGUUAAUCAAUCAAAUUAAGGAAAUAUGGAGAGAGAUUUAAAAAAAAAAGAUUUGUUGAACAGAUUUCUUUAGAAGGAGAGAUCGGUUUCUGUGCAAUGAGUUUCUACCCAGAAGUUUUAUUGGGAGUGUGUGCAUGCGUGUGUGCGUGCGUGUGUGUGUGUGUGUGUGUGUGUGUGUGUUUAGGGAAUGGGGAAAUGAUGCUUUAUAAGCCCCCAGCGUGGUGAAGGAGCCUUCAGAGAUUCAUCUUAGAAACUGAAAAGUGAUUUCCCUGAUUUGGAAAAUAAAUAGCAUAUACCAAAAAAAAA
This 3620-nucleotide long non-coding RNA is filed under the name Marmota monax (woodchuck). Lineage: Eukaryota; Metazoa; Chordata; Mammalia; Rodentia; Sciuridae. The record is from RNAcentral.